CGGAUAGUGUUCAGCUACUUGUUUGAAUUCUUCAAGACGCAAGGUUUUUAAUAAAAUUUUUGUACAUUGUUACUUUUCGAUUUUUCUCAUGCUAAACAUUCUCUAUGGUAUUGUUUUUUCAUUUACUUCAUGCUACACAUUUCCACCUUUCUUUUCCGAAUAAGAGGAAAAUGGGUGCCACCAAGGCUGUUUUCCGAAGAAAAUUUGUGUCAAACUCAUAUGGCUUGUAUGUAGCGUAAAAUAAGCCAGUUGUCAUUUUCUUCCCACGACACGGGAUGGCAUUAGUGGAGGAAUUCUAGAUUGCUCACCAGUGAUCAUUUGUCUUCGUUGUAGAAGAGUUUUCUUAGUUAUUGAUUUAAUCAAUACUGUUUUUCGAUUGUUAAGCCAUGUCUGUAGCUGCUCUGCAAGAACUCUGCCUCCAUCUGAAGGGCCAAGGCGUUUGGUUAUGGAGUACCUUUGCAAAAAAUUGCAAUUACCUCCACAUCAUCAUUAAUGAAAAUUGAAAUAAUUGAGAGGAGAAGCAAUUUGCUAAAGGUGGAAGGAAAAGCCACUAAGCUGUAGUCAAAAAGUCGCUAAGGAGUUCAUUUUUAGGACACAGGCAGAGAGUACAAGCAGUUGUCAGAAUAGAAGAGCGUUUAGCCCUUCAUUGUGUCUUGACUGCUGGUAACUCAGAGCAGGAGGGAGAAAGUGAUACGCGCUAGGCAUGAAUGGUUGCUAUGGAGAUGAAACAGCUGAUGGAGUUAGGGUUCUCCCAUGAUGUGACGUCACGAGCGAGGGCGAAACAGAGACGUAACGUUUCGUAUGGAGAAGAAAUAGCUGAUGGAGUGAAGCGUGAUCAAGGCCUUCUUGAUGGGAGAAGGCCGAAUCCAAAGGGGUUCUCUCCUUAUGUGACGUCACGAGUGAGGGCAAUCGUACUAAG
Molecule: long non-coding RNA, 919 nt
Organism: Stegodyphus dumicola
Lineage: Eukaryota; Metazoa; Arthropoda; Arachnida; Araneae; Eresidae
Source: RefSeq, a predicted model, not a curated record